This 305-nucleotide ribosomal RNA is filed under the name uncultured bacterium. Its description in RNAcentral is "bacterial SSU rRNA". It matches the Rfam family "Bacterial small subunit ribosomal RNA", at positions 335 to 633 of the family's 1533-position model. The record is from RNAcentral.
UUGCCUACGGGGCGCAGCAGUAGGGAAUUUUCGUCAAUGGGCGCAAGCCUGAACGAGCAAUGCCGCGUGAACGAGGAAGGUCUUCGGAUCGUAAAGUUCUGUUGAAGGGGAAAAAGAGCGGAGAGAGGAAAUGGUCUCCGAUUGAUAUUACCCUUCGAGGAAGUCACGGCUAACUACGUGCCAGCAGCCGCGGUAAUACGUAGGUGGCGAGCGUUAUCCGGAAUGAUUGGGCGUAAAGGGUGCGCAGGCGGAACCAUAAGUCUGAAGUAAAAGCCAUCGGCUCAACCGAUGUAAGCUUUGGAAAC